RNAcentral lists this long non-coding RNA (3569 nucleotides) under Solanum tuberosum (potato). RNAcentral describes it as "long non-coding RNA (STUB_LNC002039)". Lineage: Eukaryota; Viridiplantae; Streptophyta; Magnoliopsida; Solanales; Solanaceae. The record is from RNAcentral.
GAGCAGCUAGAACAAAUGCAUCUGAAUACAUUGAUCAACAUCGUAUCAUCAUCAUCCACGACAGAUGAUGAAAAGGCUGCUGCUGUUGGCAUACUAAGCAACUUUCCAGUGAGUGACAAGAAUGUCACAGACAUGUUUAUAAAAGCAAACCUACUGCCCAUUUUGGUUUCCAUAUUGACAUCAAGUACACCUACAACACCACAUUUACUAGCUGAGAACGUCUCUGCAGUACUAAUCCGAUUCACCCUUCCAUCAGACAAGAAACUACAACACUUCUCUGUCGAAAAUGGUGUGAUCAGCGUUUUGGUAAAGCUCCUCACAUGUGGCUCAAUCAUAGCCAAAUGUAGAGCUGCAACAUCACUUACUCAACUAUCUCAAAACUCACUCACUCUACGAAAAUCAAGAAAGUCAAGAUGGUUUUCAUGUGCCCCUCCACAUUCUACAGACACAUUUUGUCAAGUACAUGACGGGCACUGCUCUAUAAAAACCACAUUCUGUUUGGUAAAAGCAGGGGCAAUGCCUCCGCUAGUCCAAAUAUUGCAAGGCAACGAAAGAGCAGCGGACGAAGCUGCUCUAAGUUGCCUUGCAACAUUACAACAAGACGAGAUUUGGGAAAAUGGGAGCAACUUGUUAGUGAAAAUGUCAUGUGUACAACCAAUUAUCAAGAUUCUUGAAGAAGGGAUUAGCUUAAAAGCUCAAGAGAAGUCCCUGUGGAUUUUGGAAAAGAUAUUCAAAGUGGAGGCUUAUAGAGUAGAGUAUGGUGAAUAUGCACAAGUUGUGCUAAUUGAUUUAGCACAAAAUGGGGAUUCAUUGUUGAAACCUACAGUGGCUAAAUUAUUAGCACAACUUGAGCUCUUGCAGCAACAAUCAAGUUACUUUUGAGACAAAGCAAAAACAAAAAAACUUCUUUUUUUCCCCAAUUAUUUGUUGAUUGAUUGAAAUGUUGAAAUUUGUAUAGUAAGUGCUCAUACAGAUAAACUUUUUUAUGGUGCAAAUGUUCUCUCAUUGUACAAAUUACAGGAAAAAAAGGUUAUUAGAGAUGACUGAAACUUGUUGUCUUCAGAAAGUACAUUAUUUUAGCUUUGGCUGCCAUUUUGGUGCCAUUUUUUCUGCAAUUUUGCUGUAGUUUUGAUCCAAUGGCAUGAACAAGAACAACUUGCAAAUUUUAUACACCAAAUAAAUGAAGGAAACCUGUGCAAAAUAUCAACUUUACAAGUAUGACAGCUUCAUAAAUGGAGGAAACCUCGGCAAAAUAUCAAGAAUAAUUAUAGAUAUCAAAACCAGUGAUGCAACUUCACUGAUAUAAAUGUAGAGCAGAAGUUCCCUUAACCGGGAAAUAACAUCAUCCUAAUAGACACUGGUAUGUCACUCUGGGUGUAGUUCCCAAAUGUGCAAAUUCUAAUUUUAAAAGAAGUAAAUUUGUCUAGUCUGAUUUAGCUUCGGAAGUUGGUCAACUUAGAGCUCAAUUAAAGAAAAGUUCAAAAAAUUAUGGAUGGAGGGAGUGCUUUGGGAUUAAGUUAGUUGUUCCACUCAGGAAUUUUUUAUUUGGCCUGUGACUUGUAUGUUGGUGGGCGUUUAAGUGUGAAAUUAGUGGACCUUUAGUUGUAGAGAAUCCCAUAAUGAACAUAAAGGUUUCAUUUAUUCGGCUCCGACUAGAUAGGGAGUGAGGCAUAGGGGAUUGGUUAAUUUAAUGAGAUUGUAUCUGUUUUAAAGGCCAGAGGUAAAGCAAAGUAAAACAAAUCUGUGCUCCUCUCAUGCUGGUGUUGUCUUUCUUCCAUACAAUCAAAUCAAAUUUCUUCGACUUCAAGUUAUUGUCUCUUUCACUCUCCUUGUAGCUUGUCUCUUUUAAGAUUCAAGUCUGAUUGCUUUAAUUUGGUUUAAUAAUUUGAUUGUCCCACUAAGUUUACUCUGAAAUUAAUGCUUUCUUUGGCGUAUGUAGGUUGGAGCAAUCAUCUCAGGCGUUCAGCCAGGUUUAUCCAUGGUUUGGGACCCCCUGGUACGGGAAAGACUGAUAAUGCAAGUCAUUGGUUUUGGAUGGUAUGAUUACUAAAGAAGGGAUUCAUCAUGAAGAUAUGAUCCCGGUUCUGUUUAAUCGAUUGAGUUCAAGUAAAACAGACCAUAGAUUGAUUAUACUCCGAAUACUACAAGCACUGGCCGUAUAAGAUGAUGAACAUACGGUACAUUUAGUAUUUUAUUGAGUCUCAAAUAAUGAGAAUCAAGAAGCUGAAAGUUUUGAGUGGUUAAUUUUCACUUUGGUGUGCAGGAAAAGAUGGCACAAAUGGGGAAUUUAUUGAUACUGGUGAAGUCGUUGGGUCAUGAUUUGGAAGAGCAAAAAGAAGCAGUGGGGCUGUUACUGAGUCUAUCAGAUGUUGCUGCAGUUAGGAGAAGAGUCGGGAGAAUUCAAGGCUGCAUCGUCAUGUUGGUUGCAAUUUUUAAUGGGGAUGAUCAAAUGCCGUCACAUGACGCUGCCAACUUGUUAAAUUCUUUAUCAGGCAAUACCCAAUAUGCUCUUCAUAUGGCUGAGGCUGGCUAUUUCAAGCCUCUUGUACACUACUUGAACCAAGGUAUAUUUAGGACAUUUCCAUAAAUUAUAUGCAGUUCAAUAAGCUAUUUGAUUAAUUGUUUACGUAAAAUAUAUAUUCUAUGUAAAUGAUUGCAGGAUCAGACAUGAGUAAGAUUCUAAUGGCAACAGCACUUUCAAGAAUGGAACUCACAGAUCAAAAUAGAGCUAACCUGGGACAAGAUGGAGCCGUUGAACCGCUAGUCAAAAUGUUCACCUCCGGGAACCUAGAAGCUAAGCAAUCGUCUCUAAACGCGUUGCACAACUUGUCUGCCUCAAAAGCAAACGUUCAACGUCUGAUAAAAUCGGGCAUCGUUGCUACUCUGCUACAGCUUCUUUUCUCCGUUACAUCGGUGCUCAUGACUCUAAGAGAGCCACUAUCCGCAAUUCUUGCAAAAAUAGCAGCUCAAUUGGAAGUUGGCACAGUACUAGUGAAACAAGAUGUUGCUCAGCAGAUGAUUUCGCUCCUUCAUCUGACUAGUCCAGUAAUCCAGUGUCACUUGUUAGAAGCACUUAAUGCCAUCGCUGCUUGUCCGAAUGCUUCAAAGGUCAGAAGAAAAAUGAAGGAAACUGGCGCUGUUCGCCUUCUCUUACCAUUCCUAACAGAAAGCCGCAAUACCAAGAUUAGAAAUGGAGCUUUAAAUUUGAUUUACGUAUUGUCUAAUGAUAUGCAAGGCGGGGAGCUAAUGGAGCAGCUAGAACAAAUGCAUCUGAAUACAUUGAUCAACAUCGUAUCAUCAUCAUCCACGACGGAUGAUGAAAAGGCUGCUGCUGUUGGCAUACUAAGCAACUUUCCGGUGAGUGACAAGAAUGUCACAGACAUGUUAAUGAAAGCAAACCUACUGCCCAUUUUGGUUUCCAUAUUGACAUCAAGUACACCUACAACACCACAUUUACUAGCUGAGAACGUCUCCGCAGUACUAAUCCGAUUCACCCUUCCAUCAGACAAGAAACUACAACACUUCUCUGUCGAAAAUGGGGUGAUCAGCAUUUUGGUAAAGCUCCUCAC